Molecule: ribosomal RNA, 691 nt
Filed under: Staphylinidae sp. NZAC03006371
Lineage: Eukaryota; Metazoa; Arthropoda; Insecta; Coleoptera; Staphylinidae
Description: eukaryotic LSU rRNA
Rfam family: Eukaryotic large subunit ribosomal RNA (bases 340-691)
Source: RNAcentral
UACGUGAAACCGUUCAGGGGUAAACCUGAGAAACCCGAAAGGUCGAAUGGGGAGAUUCAGCGCGUCUCGCGGUCUGCGAGCGGCGGUCGCGUGACGGUCGGCGUUCGCGCCGGCCGCACCUUCCGCCGACGACUCUCCGCGAACGCGUGCACUUCUCCCCUAGUAGGACGUCGCGACCCGUCGGGUGCCGGUCUAAGGGCCGCGGUGGAGGCCGGGCGGCGCUUCGGCGUUCCGCUCCGGACCCGCGGUUCCCGGCCGGCUCGCUCGACGGUACGACAGUGGCGCGGGGCCGCGACUUUGAUUCGCGUCCGGCCCGUCGCAAGUGCGGUGCGGUAAUCCGGAUCUCGGACCUAGUGCCGACUCCGGACCCGUCCUGCUGCUGGUGACGGAGUCCUCGGACAGACCCCGAUACGCCGGUCGGCGACGCUUUAGCUUUGGGUACUUUCAGGACCCGUCUUGAAACACGGACCAAGGAGUCUAGCAUGUGCGCGAGUCAUUGGGACGUUGCGAAACCCAAAGGCGUAAUGAAAGUGAAGGCCGCCUUGCGCGCGCCUAGGGAGGAUGCGUCGGGCUUCGGCCCGGCGCCGCACUCCCGGGGCGUCUCGUGCUCAUCGCGAGCUGAGGCGCACCCAGAGCGUACACGCUGGGACCCGAAAGAUGGUGAACUAUGCCUGGUCAGGACGAAGUCAGG